GACGAACGCUGGCGGCGUGCUUAACGCAUGCAAGUCGAACGGAAAGGCCCUGCUUUUGUGGGGUGCUCGAGUGGCGAACGGGUGAGUAACACGUGAGUAACCUGCCCUUGACUUUGGGAUAACUUCAGGAAACUGGGGCUAAUACCGGAUAGGAGCUCCUGCUGCAUGGUGGGGGUUGGAAAGUUUCGGCGGUUGGGGAUGGACUCGCGGCUUAUCAGCUUGUUGGUGGGGUAGUGGCUUACCAAGGCUUUGACGGGUAGCCGGCCUGAGAGGGUGACCGGCCACAUUGGGACUGAGAUACGGCCCAGACUCCUACGGGAGGCAGCAGUGGGGAAUAUUGCACAAUGGGCGGAAGCCUGAUGCAGCAACGCCGCGUGCGGGAUGACGGCCUUCGGGUUGUAAACCGCUUUCGCCUGUGACGAAGCGUGAGUGACGGUAAUGGGUAAAGAAGCACCGGCUAACUACGUGCCAGCAGCCGCGGUGAUACGUAGGGCGCGAGCGUUGUCCGGAUUUAUUGGGCGUAAAGGGCUCGUAGGUGGUUGAUCGCGUCGGAAGUGUAAUCUUGGGGCUUAACCCUGAGCGUGCUUUCGAUACGGGUUGACUUGAGGAAGGUAGGGGAGAAUGGAAUUCCUGGUGGAGCGGUGGAAUGCGCAGAUAUCAGGAGGAACACCAGUGGCGAAGGCGGUUCUCUGGGCCUUUCCUGACGCUGAGGAGCGAAAGCGUGGGGAGCGAACAGGCUUAGAUACCCUGGUAGUCCACGCUGUAAACGGUGGGUACUAGGUGUGGGGUCCAUUCCACGGGUUCCGUGCCGUAGCUAACGCUUUAAGUACCCCGCCUGGGGAGUACGGCCGCAAGGCUAAAACUCAAAGGAAUUGACGGGGCCCCGCACAAGCGGCGGAGCAUGCGGAUUAAUUCGAUGCAACGCGUAGAACCUUACCUGGGUUUGACAUGGAUCGGGAGUGCUCAGAGAUGGGUGUGCCUCUUUUGGGGUCGGUUCACAGGUGGUGCAUGGCUGUCGUCAGCUCGUGUCGUGAGAUGUUGGGUUAAGUCCCGCAACGAGCGCAACCCUUGUUCACUGUUGCCAGCACGUUAUGGUGGGGACUCAGUGGAGACCGCCGGGGUCAACUCGGAGGAAGGUGGGGAUGACGUCAAGUCAUCAUGCCCCUUAUGUCCAGGGCUUCACGCAUGCUACAAUGGCUGGUACAGAGAGUGGCGAGCCUGUGAGGGUGAGCGAAUCUCGGAAAGCCGGUCUCAGUUCGGAUUGGGGUCUGCAACUCGACCUCAUGAAGUCGGAGUCGCUAGUAAUCGCAGAUCAGCAACGCUGCGGUGAAUACGUUCCCGGG
This 1343-nucleotide ribosomal RNA is filed under the name uncultured bacterium. RNAcentral describes it as "16S ribosomal RNA". It matches the Rfam family "Bacterial small subunit ribosomal RNA", at positions 28 to 1378 of the family's 1533-position model. The record is from RNAcentral.